This 212-nucleotide ribosomal RNA is filed under the name Aspergillus clavatus. RNAcentral describes it as "partial 28S rRNA". The record is from RNAcentral. Lineage: Eukaryota; Fungi; Ascomycota; Eurotiomycetes; Eurotiales; Aspergillaceae.
GACCAGACUCGCUCGCGGGGUUCAGCCGGCAUUCGUGCCGGUGUACUUCCCCGUGGGCGGGCCAGCGUCGGUUUGGGCGGCCGGUCAAAGGCCUCCGGAAUGUAUCACCUCUCGGGGUGUCUUAUAGCCGGGGGUGCAAUGCGGCCUGCCUGGACCGAGGAACGCGCUUCGGCUCGGACGCUGGCGUAAUGGUCGUAAAUGACCCGUCUUGA